RNAcentral lists this transfer RNA (70 nucleotides) under Xantusia vigilis. Its description in RNAcentral is "tRNA-His". It matches the Rfam family "tRNA". Rfam says of the family: Transfer RNA (tRNA) molecules are approximately 80 nucleotides in length. Their secondary structure includes four short double-helical elements and three loops (D, anti-codon, and T loops). Further hydrogen bonds mediate the characteristic L-shaped molecular structure. tRNAs have two regions of fundamental functional importance: the anti-codon, which is responsible for specific mRNA codon recognition, and the 3' end, to which the tRNAs corresponding amino acid is attached (by aminoacyl-tRNA synthetases). tRNAs cope with the degeneracy of the genetic code in two manners: having more than one tRNA (with a specific anti-codon) for a particular amino acid; and 'wobble' base-pairing, i.e. permitting non-standard base-pairing at the 3rd anti-codon position. The record is from RNAcentral. Lineage: Eukaryota; Metazoa; Chordata; Lepidosauria; Squamata; Xantusiidae.
GUUUCUAUAGUUUAAAAAAAACAUUAGAUUGUGAAUCUAAAAACAGAAGUCAAAAACCUUCUUUUAAACC